UACGUAGGUGGCGAGCGUUGUCCGGAUUUACUGGGCGUAAAGGGCGUGCAGGCGGUUUGCUAGGUCUAGGGUGAAAGCUCCCGGCUUAACUGGGAGAGGUCCUUGGAUACUGGCAGACUUGAGGAGGGUAGAGGAGAGUGGAAUUCCCGGUGUAGUGGUGAUAUGCGUAGAUAUCGGGAGGAACACCAGUGGCGAAGGCGGCUCUCUGGGCCCUACCUGACGCUGAGACGCGAAAGCGUGGGGAGCGAACCGG
This 253-nucleotide ribosomal RNA is filed under the name uncultured bacterium. RNAcentral's name for it is "partial 16S ribosomal RNA". It matches the Rfam family "Bacterial small subunit ribosomal RNA", at positions 524 to 776 of the family's 1533-position model. The record is from RNAcentral.